This is a long non-coding RNA of Orbicella faveolata, 114 nucleotides long. The record is from RefSeq and is a predicted model, not a curated record. NCBI's taxonomy places the organism in Eukaryota, Metazoa, Cnidaria, Anthozoa, Scleractinia, Merulinidae.
UGCUUCAAAGUUUGUGGGCUUUCGAAGACAUCACACACGCUAUCGACAGUUCCGUAAACGUGAUGGGCAAACUCGGAUGUCUUGAAAAUGACAAGUUCAAAGAAGUGGCCAAAG